GCGCGGGUGCUGUAACGGUAGCCAGGCACGCUUGAGGUGCGUGUGCCGCAAGGCGUGGAGGUUCGAAUCCUCUCCCGCGCACCA
This 84-nucleotide transfer RNA is filed under the name Candidatus Wolfebacteria bacterium. Its description in RNAcentral is "tRNA-Leu". It matches the Rfam family "tRNA". Rfam says of the family: Transfer RNA (tRNA) molecules are approximately 80 nucleotides in length. The record is from RNAcentral. Lineage: Bacteria; Candidatus Wolfeibacteriota.